RNAcentral lists this ribosomal RNA (253 nucleotides) under uncultured bacterium. Its description in RNAcentral is "partial 16S ribosomal RNA". It matches the Rfam family "Bacterial small subunit ribosomal RNA", at positions 524 to 776 of the family's 1533-position model. The record is from RNAcentral.
UACAGAGGGGGCAAGCGUUGUUCGGAAUUACUGGGCGUAAAGGGCGCGUAGGCGGCCCGCUAAGUCGAACGUGAAAUCCCCGAGCUCAACUCGGGAACUGCGUCCGAUACUGGUGGGCUUGAAUCCGGGAGAGGGAUGCGGAAUUCCAGGUGUAGCGGUGAAAUGCGUAGAUAUCUGGAGGAACACCGGUGGCGAAGGCGGCAUCCUGGACCGGCAUUGACGCUGAGGAGCGAAAGCUAGGGGAGCAAACGGG